GACGAACGCUGGCGGCGUGCCUAAUACAUGCAAGUUGAGCGAUGAAGCUUGGUGCUUGCACCAAUUUGAAGAGCAGCGAACGGGUGAGUAACGCGUGGGGAAUCUGCCUUUGAGCGGGGGACAACAUUUGGAAACGAAUGCUAAUACCGCAUAACAACUUUAAACAUAAGUUUUAAGUUUGAAAGAUGCAAUUGCAUCACUCAAAGAUGAUCCCGCGUUGUAUUAGCUAGUUGGUGAGGUAAAGGCUCACCAAGGCGAUGAUACAUAGCCGACCUGAGAGGGUGAUCGGCCACAUUGGGACUGAGACACGGCCCAAACUCCUACGGGAGGCAGCAGGAGGGAAUCUUCGGCAAUGGACGAAAGUCUGACCGAGCAACGCCGCGUGAGGGAAGAAGGUUUUCGGAUCGUAAAACUCUGUUGGUAGAGAAGAACGUUGGUGAGAGUGGAAAGCUCAUCAAGUGACGGUAACUACCCAGAAAGGGACGGCUAACUACGUG
This 497-nucleotide ribosomal RNA is filed under the name uncultured bacterium. Its description in RNAcentral is "partial 16S ribosomal RNA". It matches the Rfam family "Bacterial small subunit ribosomal RNA", at positions 28 to 507 of the family's 1533-position model. The record is from RNAcentral.